Molecule: long non-coding RNA, 524 nt
Organism: Cyprinus carpio (common carp)
Lineage: Eukaryota; Metazoa; Chordata; Actinopteri; Cypriniformes; Cyprinidae
Exons: 5
Source: RefSeq, a predicted model, not a curated record
GCUCAUAUGACACAAGCUCCUCCUUAGCGGUUCUUCACAGUCCACACACACAAAGAUACACCAGCAGAGCGAUCAGACAUCCACAUCAACAAAACUCAUUUGAUUUCAGGGGAACUCAAAAAACUGUGCCAGGAAUGGAAGCAGCAAUGUAAUCUCAACUGAAAAAGCUACAGUUAUCAUCCAAGUAAAUCCACAGGUGGCACAAGAUACUGUUAUUUGUGGUGAUGGACAGCAGGCCAGAGGAACACAUCACAAUAUGACUCUUACAGAAUUUUUCAAAGCACAACCAAAGGCAUUAGGGACUGUCCCAGAUAAUGGUUGGAGUGAUGGUUUUCUUGUGUGGUAUUGUACGCACCACCAAUAUCUACAAUUAUCCUUACCCAGCCAUUUCUGUCAUUAGUGGCAUCACCUACUGGGGAUCCCUUAUUUACAUCAGUGCUGGCUCUCUGUCCGUUGAUGCGAACAACAGACUUCAUCUGUGUGGGGUGAAAGCCUCUCUUGUAAUGAAUGUGAUCAGUGCCAUA